AGAAUGAACGCUGGCGGCAUGCCUAACACAUGCAAGUCGAACGAGACCUUCGGGUCUAGUGGCGCACGGGUGCGUAACGCGUGGGAAUCUGCCCUUAGGUACGGAAUAACUCAGGGAAACUUGUGCUAAUACCGUAUGAUGUCGAGAGACCAAAGAUUUAUCGCCUAGGGAUGAGCCCGCGUAGGAUUAGCUAGUUGGUGGGGUAAAGGCCUACCAAGGCUACGAUCCUUAGCUGGUCUGAGAGGAUGAUCAGCCACACUGGGACUGAGACACGGCCCAGACUCCUACGGGAGGCAGCAGUGGGGAAUAUUGGACAAUGGGCGAAAGCCUGAUCCAGCAAUGCCGCGUGAGUGAAGAAGGCCUUCGGGUUGUAAAGCUCUUUUACCGGGAAGAUAAUGACUGUACGGGAGAAUAAGCCCCGGCUAACUCCGUGCCAGCACGCCGC
Molecule: ribosomal RNA, 445 nt
Filed under: uncultured bacterium
Lineage: Bacteria
Description: SSU rRNA
Rfam family: Bacterial small subunit ribosomal RNA
Source: RNAcentral